GUUUAUUGAGCCAAUGGAUUCUAAGUCUUCUAACUCAGAGAGAAUUGAUUGAUGGUGAGUUAGUCGGGUUUCGAAGGAAAGUCCCAGUGGCGUUGCCAGGACCCCGGAUCAGGGGUACAAAAUUUUUUAUAAAAAUUCUCCAUAUUCUCCUACAACAGCAAAAUAACAGAAUAAAAUUAGAAAGCAAAAUCAGUCUUGUAAAGCAAACAGAAUGGUAUGUAUAGCAACCUAUCAAGAGCUUCCAUAUAAUUCACAAGUAUUUUGAAUAUAGCAAGCUUUCGUGAUCAAAAUUAAUCCUCCUUAUCAUCUAUU
This 312-nucleotide long non-coding RNA is filed under the name Medicago truncatula (barrel medic). RNAcentral's name for it is "long non-coding RNA (MTRU_LNC001376)". Lineage: Eukaryota; Viridiplantae; Streptophyta; Magnoliopsida; Fabales; Fabaceae. The record is from RNAcentral.